UACAGAGGUCCCAAGCGUUGUUCGGAUUCACUGGGCGUAAAGGGUGCGUAGGCGGCCGGGUAAGUCUGAUGUGAAAGCACGGAGCUCAACUCCGGAACGGCAUUGGAUACUAUCCGGCUUGAGGAUCGGAGGGGAGACUGGAAUUCUUGGUGUAGCAGUGAGAUGCGUAGAUAUCAAGAGGAACACCAGUGGCGAAGGCGAGUCUCUGGACGAAUCCUGACGCUGAGGCACGAAAGCUAGGGGAGCAAACAGG
RNAcentral lists this unclassified non-coding RNA (253 nucleotides) under uncultured Verrucomicrobiota bacterium. Its description in RNAcentral is "uncultured Verrucomicrobia bacterium contains 16S-23S intergenic spacer region". It matches the Rfam family "Bacterial small subunit ribosomal RNA", at positions 524 to 776 of the family's 1533-position model. The record is from RNAcentral. Lineage: Bacteria; Pseudomonadati; Verrucomicrobiota.